Molecule: small RNA, 392 nt
Filed under: Marmota monax (woodchuck)
Lineage: Eukaryota; Metazoa; Chordata; Mammalia; Rodentia; Sciuridae
Rfam family: tRNA (bases 106-178)
Source: RNAcentral
UAAUUCAUAUGUUAUUGAGGAACAACUUCAGGCUGGUCAUAUAGAAUCAACGCUUAGUCCUUGGAACACCCCAAUUUUUGUUAUUAAGAAAAAGUCAGGGGGGCUGGGGAUAUAGCUCAGUUGGUAGAGUGCUUGCCUUGCAUGCACAAGGCCCUGGGUUCAAUCCCCAGCACCACCAAAAAAAAAAAAAAAAGAAAAAGUCAGGUAAUUGGAGAUUAUUACAGGAUUUAAGGCCAAUAAAUCAGGCAAUUCAGGCUAUGGGAUCAUUUCAGCCUGGACUUCCUUCCCCCACAGUAAGUCCUUUAAAUUAUAGCUUAAUGGUAAUAGAUCUAAAAUAUUGCUUUUUUCUCAAUAAGGUUGCAUCCUGAGGAUUCUGAAAAAUUUGUUUUCAG